AUGGUCGUCGCACUCGGCAACAGAAGGAAGGCCAUUGCCUCGCUCAUUAUGCUAGUAAUCUGGGAGCUUUGAAAUGAGAAGAAUGUGCGAGUCUUCCGUAACAAAGCGACUUUGUCCACAAUCAUCUUUGCAAGCAUCAAGUCAGAGGCGAGAAAUUGGGUUCUCGUGGGGCAAAACAUUUGA
Molecule: ribosomal RNA, 183 nt
Filed under: Triticum aestivum (bread wheat)
Lineage: Eukaryota; Viridiplantae; Streptophyta; Magnoliopsida; Poales; Poaceae
Description: partial small subunit ribosomal RNA
Source: RNAcentral